CAGAAUAGGAACUGGAAUGGGGCCUUGGAGCUUUCUCAGGACCUGACCAUCUCCUCCAUUUGUUCAUCUACAUUAUUCCAUGAGUUUUUUAAUGGCAAAUAACAAGUUCGUUGGGGGUGGAUAGCAUUUUGGCAUUUUGAUCCUCCAAACUGUACAUAUUACACUUUAUAGAUGUAUACACAAUUGAUACAAACAGCCACUGUAAUCAAUUCAUCUAAAUUUCACGCCAACACUCUCUAACGUGCUAGCAAAAUCCUGUUUCGUUCCUGCUUGUAGAUUUCAAUUUUUGUAGAGACUGAUUCUAGCAGUAUGAAGAGGAAUUAGAGAAUCAAGGCCAGAAAAUGGCUCUUGGAAACAAGAUUGGCAAAUGUGUUCCUUUGAUAAUCAACG
RNAcentral lists this unclassified non-coding RNA (390 nucleotides) under Hevea brasiliensis (rubber tree). Lineage: Eukaryota; Viridiplantae; Streptophyta; Magnoliopsida; Malpighiales; Euphorbiaceae. The record is from RNAcentral.